This 420-nucleotide ribosomal RNA is filed under the name uncultured bacterium. RNAcentral's name for it is "bacterial SSU rRNA". It matches the Rfam family "Bacterial small subunit ribosomal RNA", at positions 355 to 773 of the family's 1533-position model. The record is from RNAcentral.
UAGGGAAUAUUGGACAAUGGGUGAGAGCCUGAUCCAGCCAUGCCGCGUGCAGGAAGAAGGCGUUAUGCGUUGUAAACUGCUUUUGCCAGGGGAUAAAAAGACCGUGCGCGGUUAAUUGAAGGUACCUGGUGAAUAAGCCACGGCUAACUACGUGCCAGCAGCCGCGGUAAUACGUAGGUGGCAAGCGUUGUCCGGAUUUAUUGGGUUUAAAGGGUGCGUAGGUGGCCCUGUAAGUCAGUGGUGAAAUAUCUCAGCUUAACUGAGAGGGUGCCAUUGAUACUGCAGGGCUUGAGUACAGAUGAGGUAGGCGGAAUUGACGGUGUAGCGGUGAAAUGCAUAGAUAUCGUCAAGAACACCGAUAGCGAAGGCAGCUUACCAAGCUGUAACUGACACUGAGGCGCGAAAGCAAGGGGAUCAAAC